RNAcentral lists this ribosomal RNA (425 nucleotides) under uncultured bacterium. Its description in RNAcentral is "bacterial SSU rRNA". It matches the Rfam family "Bacterial small subunit ribosomal RNA", at positions 356 to 773 of the family's 1533-position model. The record is from RNAcentral.
AGGGAAUCUUCCACAAUGGACGAAAGUCUGAUGGAGCAAUGCCGCGUGAGCGAAGAAGGUUUUCGGAUCGUAAAGCUCUGUUGUGAGGGAAGAACAAGUACGGGAGUAACUGCCCGUACCUUGACGGUACCUCAUUAGAAAGCCACGGCUAACUACGUGCCAGCAGCCGCGGUAAUACGUAGGUGGCAAGCGUUGUCCGGAAUUAUUGGGCGUAAAGCGCGCGCAGGCGGCCUUUUAAGUCUGAUGUGAAAGCCCCCGGCUCAACCGGGGAAGGUCAUUGGAAACUGAGAGGCUUGAGUACAGAAGAGGAAAGCGGAAUUCCACGUGUAGCGGUGAAAUGCGUAGAGAUGUGGAGGAACACCAGUGGCGAAGGCGGCUUUCUGGUCUGUAACUGACGCUGAGGCGCGAAAGCGUGGGGAGCAAAC